UUCAAUGAUGAUAACUUUAAACCAUUCACAGACACCAUAUAAAAGUCAAGCGCUGACAAACUUCUUCAAUAUUCUUUUGGAGAUAGGGAGUCUUGCUUGGCCGGUUAUGGACCCUGGUUAAAAAUUUGGCACUGAGCUU
Molecule: small nucleolar RNA, 139 nt
Filed under: Drosophila ananassae
Lineage: Eukaryota; Metazoa; Arthropoda; Insecta; Diptera; Drosophilidae
Description: snoRNA:GF26072
Source: RNAcentral